Podarcis raffonei (Aeolian wall lizard) is the source of this 156-nucleotide long non-coding RNA. RefSeq lists it as uncharacterized. NCBI's taxonomy places the organism in Eukaryota, Metazoa, Chordata, Lepidosauria, Squamata, Lacertidae. The transcript has 3 exons. The record is from RefSeq and is a predicted model, not a curated record.
GAGCCACCAGAAGAUGGGCGUCGACCAGGCCGCCGUCGCCGCGGAAACGGAGAGCAGGAACCUUCCGGAAAGCGAAUACAUCACCGUCAACCCGGCGCCGGGUUUUUCCAGCCCCGUUCCGCCCAAGACGUAUUCCGGCGCCGGCGGAAUUCCCAG